CACCCCUACGAGACGCAGCAGUGGGGAAUAUUGGGCAAUGGGCGCAAGCCUGACCCAGCAACGCCGCGUGAAGGAAGAAGGCUUUCGGGUUGUAAACUUCUUUUCUCAGGGACGAAGCAAGUGACGGUACCUGAGGAAUAAGCCACGGCUAACUACGUGCCAGCAGCCGCGGUAAUACGUAGGUGGCAAGCGUUAUCCGGAUUUACUGGGUGUAAAGGGCGUGUAGGCGGGAAAGCAAGUCAGAUGUGAAAACCACGGGCUCAACCUGUGGCCUGCAUUUGAAACUGUUUUUCUUGAGUACUGGA
This 305-nucleotide ribosomal RNA is filed under the name uncultured bacterium. RNAcentral describes it as "bacterial SSU rRNA". It matches the Rfam family "Bacterial small subunit ribosomal RNA", at positions 334 to 653 of the family's 1533-position model. The record is from RNAcentral.